Molecule: long non-coding RNA, 639 nt
Organism: Anarrhichthys ocellatus (wolf-eel)
Lineage: Eukaryota; Metazoa; Chordata; Actinopteri; Perciformes; Anarhichadidae
Exons: 4
Source: RefSeq, a predicted model, not a curated record
UUGUUGGAGAACAAACAGGAGAACAAACAUCAGGACAGGGCUGCAGAAGAGAAAUACGACUGUACAUCAGGUCAACUAAAAGAGGAAUUAAAUAAAAACGCUUCUGAUAUCUGUAAUAAGAUGAGACUCCUCAGUGUGAAGUCGCAGCUUUGCAAAGACAAACAGAGAGAAAGAGAGACAGAUUUCAUUGGAAUGGUUCACAGAUACUGUCAGGAAACAAACUGCUGCCAUUCAUACAUUGAAGAGAGGAGAUGUGGUCCACCUCAUGAGCGUCAAUUUUUCUACAUAUUAAUGAUAGACAAAAAGUACUACCCUGAGGGUGAGGGUAAGACUGCCAAGGAAGCCAAACAAAAUGCAGCUCGGCUAGCCUGGUCUGCUCUCCAAGAACAGUCAGACUUUGACAGCAAGGUAUUUCAUGUUUUUUUACUCCCUUUAUAUCAUGAAAUACACACUCACUUGCCAGUUUAUUAUACAAACUAACAAAGUCUAAUACAACAGUCCUGCCACAAAUACUACCUUCACAAAGGCCAUAAUGUACAGGUUUUAUUGAAACUGUUUUAUAUCACAAUCUUAAAAGCUGUGAUAAUAAAUAGAAAAAUCCAAUUUCUGUAAAUGCAAUACCAACUACUUGUGAUCUCA